AUUCCUCUUCGUUUCCUCUUCUUUCUAAGAUGCCCCUGCAGGCUAGGGUUCCCGGCGGGCGGCGGCCGCCCCUACUACUCUCGCCCUCGCCACCACCCACAAAUGGAGUCCACCAUGGAGAAUGCCCAGUUGCCCACGUAGUGGGAGCGCCAAGCUGUCUGGAACCGGCGCGAUUACUAGGGAGAGUGGUGGUGGCGGCAUGGAGGUGGUGCCGUGGGGGACAGCCGCCGUUGCUGGGGCAGAGGUAGUAGUGGACAUCGGCGUCGGUGCGUCGCGGAUCUGCUGCGUGAAGGCUACUGAGGGGACGGCCUGGGAGAGCAAAGUGCGCAUGUAAGGACGUCUGGGACCAGCCCUGUGGAUCAACAUGGUGCGCAUGAGCGAUGAUGCUUCCUUGGUCCCUCCACCAUGUCAAGGAGGCCUACAUGUGCGGCUUCUGAACCAGUAAUUUCCACCCCCUUCGUCAAUUCUGCACUAAUCCACCCAUCCUCCUAGCUCUUUUCUCCAUCCAAGUUCCAUCCCUUGGUUUAGGGCUUUAGGCUGUCGAAAGGUGAACACUAAAUUUUCUACUGAUCUAGAUAUUAUAGUGAUGCUAAGUGCUAUAAAAAGGGUAAAAUAUUUCUUCAAAGAGAUGGCAAAGUCGAAUUAAAAAUUGGAAUAUUAGAGCUUAGCUAAUUAAAAUAUGCUAAUAUAUGAUACAACAAAUGGUGUGCAACUUGCAGCAAAUUAGUUCAGAGCUGAUACAAAAAUAGCUUUGCUAAUUUUCUAUUGUCAGCAUCUCAGAUACUAAGGUUUUAUUUUCGUGCCAUUCCACUUGGUUUCACUAUAUGCAGUAGUUGAAAAUUUAUAUAUUGUGACGUUACCAAUUAGUCCACAUCGUUUGUUGGUACUGAACAAUUCUUGGCUAUGGGGUGUCUCCUACCUAAUUUCCUUUCUUAUUUGAGAAUAUAGUCCUGCUGCAAAUUCAUUCAGUUCUUCUGCAUUUUCUCUCAAAAAUAUAGAACCACAUAUUGUGGAUGAAUCAACUCUUGGUGCAAAUACAUACUAUGAAUUUAAAAAAUUCCCUUACUGCGAUACCAACAUGAACAUUGACACUAGGGUUUGAGGGCCAUGAUGGCCAUUUAUGCAACCAGAUGAGUUUCCUCUGCUGAUGAUAAAAACAUGGACAUCAACUCUAGGUGUUAAGGCCGCCAUGGCCACUGAUGCGUGUGUGGCUACAACAUAAGGUGUAUGUGAUUUUAAUCAAAUCAUUUAUAUCUUGGUUGGAGUUCUGAUUUGUUUACAAACCCAUCAACGUUUACUUUACGUAUUUUCAAUGUCACUGGUUAUCUUAUCCGUGCCAUUUUUGCUCCUCAUUCAGCAAAAUCCAUAGAAGCAGAAGCUGCUUAGUAAUGUAUUCAGAAGGUUUUUGUUAGUUCAGUACUUGCAAAAGGUUGCUCCAUUUUGUCUGUAAGGUUGAUGCUUUCAUCGUAUUUUCAGAAAUAUAGUUUCCUUUUUAUGAUAUCUUCUAUACCUUAAUAUUAUGUCUUCGGUACAACCUGCUCACAACUCAUGAUGUUAAAGAAUAAACUUUAGCUGGACUUGAAGGAAACACGUCAAUCCUUCCUAAUUCACAUCUCUUAUUGUCUUGGAGUAUCUACUUCGAAAUGAAUAUGCAUGGUACAUAUCUCUGUUCAAGACAAAGAGAAAUAUCUCAUAAGAAGAUCAGUACUUCUGGAAAGUUGAGCUCACUUGUUUUAGUUGUUUUUUGUAUAUCUCAUAAGAAAAUCUGUUUUUUUUAAAUCUUAGAUCCAGAUUAGCAGCUUGUGAACUGACCAUGUUAAUGUUACAGAAAAUGAUACGAGCUCACUGGAGCAAAAAAAUCAAUUUUACUACAAUUUUGCCUGCCAUAGCAUCAACACAGGCUUUGUCGGAAUGAAUUUAAUUAUGUCCUAAUUAUUAAUGUUUACAUUUAGAUGUGUAUCUUACUUUCUUUCUAGAGGAUAUGUGUUAUCGAAGGCCACAUGUAGGCAGAGAUAUUGUAUAACACUCUAAAGUUUGAUGUUCUAUAGCGGAUUCUUUUCCACAAAAUAAAAUUAAUGUUUGUACCUUUCACAUGUACCCGUCGUUCUGAAGUUUGAUGUUCCCAAAGGAUUUCUUUUUGACAAAACUUGGUGUAUAUCUGUAUCUCUGAUAUAUUCAUUGGUAUGCUUUUUUUAUUUUACUUCUGCUUUGUCAAGACCAUAAAUAUGUUGAGGCUAGGAAUAUUCAGCUAGGAAGAUGGGAGUAGAAGAGGAGCAACGCGAGAUGGCUUGUGCAACAUGAAUAGAGCUGCCGCUCCAAACAGAGAGAACAAGCUUGUGAACUUCAGGCGUUGUAUAUCUCUCCAAACCGCAGGAUGUAGAUUCAGAACACUUUGAGACAUCACCUCUUUAUGCCAAAGGGAAUUGAUGAUGAUGUGACAACAUGAAGCUAACAAGGUCUAGCAGAUAAUUAUAAUGCAGUGACGAGUGAAAAUGAGAGAGCACUACCAGAGAAAUGCUACAUAACUUUUUAAGUGGCAUUAUGUUAGUUUAGUUUGAGUGCAAGUGUAAAAGUAUGUCUGUCUCACAUCCUUAAAAACGUUAAAAAAAGAGCCCUUCACUGAUGCUUCUUGUGUGUAUGAGUGUAUCCUCCGGUUUUACUUACGAUUGUAGACUUAGCAUAUUCACUACUAUAGAACAAUCAAUUUUAUCUUUAUCA
Molecule: long non-coding RNA, 2718 nt
Organism: Lolium rigidum
Lineage: Eukaryota; Viridiplantae; Streptophyta; Magnoliopsida; Poales; Poaceae
Exons: 3
Source: RefSeq, a predicted model, not a curated record